Molecule: long non-coding RNA, 1303 nt
Organism: Mus musculus (house mouse)
Lineage: Eukaryota; Metazoa; Chordata; Mammalia; Rodentia; Muridae
Product: RIKEN cDNA 9230102K24 gene
Exons: 3
Source: RefSeq, marked validated
AUUUCUAACAGUGCCUGAGAAAGCAAGCGCUGAGCUAUUAACGUAAUGAGCUUGGAUUCAAAAUUAAAAAGGGGGAGCCACAAAGCAGCACAGGCCGGCCACGAAGGGACGAUGGCCUGAGUCCAUAAGGAUGUGAAUGCCAUUACUCAUUAACACACACUCCACUUAAGGAAAUCCUUAGGAAAAGCAACUGAGUCGAGCUAAUGAGUCGCCUCUUCCUCCGAUACUGGUUUUCAUUGUCUACAGAGGGUUUCCCAACCUCCACUAUCUGCUCACUGGACUUGAUGGUAUAUCAACUUAUAGAGGGAAAUAUUCGCACCCGGAUGGUGUGCUAGGUCCUUUAUUUAUUCAUCAAAAAAGAGAGAGAGAAAGAAAGGAGAGGAGGGAAGAAAGAAAGAUGGAUUUGCUCACAAGGCUAUAAUCUAAGGACAAGUAUUGAUUGCUGAAACACUAAAGGAAUAUCUAAAGCCAGGACAAUAUCUUUCAAGGUCAAGCUAGCGCAUGUGUUGUAACACUGUGGACUCCACACAGUAAGGCGCCACUAUUCAAUUUCAAAAGGCUCAUGGCAAAGUCAUGUUUGGUUCUGCCCUGGAUAUCCAGUUUCCUGUUCUUGGCCAGCCAGGCAGCAUCAGGACAGGAUGAGGAUGACCGUUGAAGAACCCAGCUGUCGGGGACAAUUGCUUUAAAGUCUUUGUAAUGUUACCCCAAGGAAGCCCAAGAGAUGAGCAAGAAGAUUGAUCACAGAACACUGAACAGAACUAAGCAGACCACAGCCAAAUGGAUAAUGUUUCACAAAGAACUUGUAAUCUCUGAAUGCAGGGCUUCGUUUCAACCACAUGCAUUCCAUAACGGCUAUAAAUUCCAUUAGCACUAAAUAUCCACUGAGCUCUAAGCCAAGGAGAGGAACAAAAUAUCAAAACAGCCUUGUGUGUUUCAACUAUUAUUUAGAGAGUGGUUCCUCCAUGCCAGGCACUAGAGUAGGUGAUUAGAGGACUCAGUGAAUAAGAACACAGUUCCUGCAGCCUGCAUGUGCUUUGAGAAGUGGCAAUCUUAGACCUUGAAAUAAAUAAUUUCAGUGUAUAGACAGUACAAUGGAUAAUACACACAAGUGCAUAUGGAAGUGGAAUGUAUGGAAGUGGCUGGGUUCAAAUUCUAACCCUACUGUGCACUAACAUAACUCAGUUUCCUCACCUCUAAGCUGUUAAUCAUUGUACCUGGCUUACAGGAACCGCUGUCUGGAUUAGAUGAGAAAAUGUACUGAAAUCGUUUUAAAAGCAAUUUUGAUAUAAAGUACUCGACAAUU